Molecule: ribosomal RNA, 482 nt
Filed under: uncultured bacterium
Lineage: Bacteria
Description: SSU rRNA
Rfam family: Bacterial small subunit ribosomal RNA
Source: RNAcentral
AGGACGAACGCUGGCGGCGUGCCUAACACAUGCAAGUCGAACGAGGUCCAACCGGUAGCAAUACCGGUGAAGACCAAGUGGCGAACGGGUGAGUAGCACGUGAGCAACCUGCCCCGAAGACCGGGACAACACCGGGAAACCGGUGCUAAUACCGGAUAUCCCCACUGAGUCGCAUGGCUCGGUGAGGAAAUGGAUUCCGCUUCGGGAGGGGCUCGCGGCCUAUCAGCUUGUUGGUGAGGUAACGGCUCACCAAGGCUUCGACGGGUAGCUGGUCUGAGAGGACGAUCAGCCACACUGGGACUGAGACACGGCCCAGACUCCUACGGGAGGCAGCAGUGGGGAAUCUUGCACAAUGGGCGAAAGCCUGAUGCAGCAACGCCGCGUGAGGGACGAAGGCUUUCUGAGUUGUAAACCUCUUUCAGCAGGGACGAUUGUGACGGUACCUGCAGAAGAAGCCCCGGCAACUACGUGCCAGCAGCCGC